RNAcentral lists this transfer RNA (76 nucleotides) under Flavobacterium covae. RNAcentral describes it as "tRNA-Ala". It matches the Rfam family "tRNA". From Rfam's summary of the family: Transfer RNA (tRNA) molecules are approximately 80 nucleotides in length. Their secondary structure includes four short double-helical elements and three loops (D, anti-codon, and T loops). Lineage: Bacteria; Pseudomonadati; Bacteroidota; Flavobacteriia; Flavobacteriales; Flavobacteriaceae. The record is from RNAcentral.
GGGGGAUUAGCUCAGCUGGCUAGAGCGCCUGCCUUGCACGCAGGAGGACCAUCGGUCUGGACUCUGAUAUUCUCCA